CCUACGGGAGGCUGCAGUCGAGAAUCUUUCGCAAUGCCCGAAAGGGUGACGAAGCGACGCCGCGUGCGGGAGGAAGGCCUUCGGGUUGUAAACCGCUGUCGGGAGUUAAGAAAUGCAAGGAUGUUAAUAGCGUUCUUGCUUGACUAAGGCUCCGGAGGAAGCCACGGCUAACUCUGUGCCAGCAGCCGCGGUAAUACAGAGGCGGCAAGCGUUGUUCGGAAUUAUUGGGCGUAAAGAGCACGUAGGCGGCUGUGUAAGUCGGUUGUGAAAGCCUUCCGCUCAACGGAAGAACGGCAUCCGAUACUGCAUAGCUUGAGUGUGGGAGGGGAGAGUGGAACUUCUGGUGGAGCGGUGAAAUGCGUAGAUAUCAGAAGGAACACCGGCGGCGAAGGCGACUCUCUGGUCCAUAACUGACGCUGAGUGUGCGAAAGCUAGGGGAGCAAACGGGAUUAGAUACCCCGGUAGUCCUAGCCGUAAACGAUGGGCACUAAGUAGAGGGGUUUUGAUUAUCUCUCUGCCGGAGCUAACGCAUUAAGUGCCCCGCCUGGGGAGUACGGCCGCAAGGCUAAAACUCAAAAGAAUUGACGGGG
Molecule: ribosomal RNA, 590 nt
Filed under: Candidatus Brocadia sp. TKU-1
Lineage: Bacteria; Pseudomonadati; Planctomycetota; Candidatus Brocadiia; Candidatus Brocadiales; Candidatus Brocadiaceae
Description: bacterial SSU rRNA
Rfam family: Bacterial small subunit ribosomal RNA
Source: RNAcentral